RNAcentral lists this ribosomal RNA (253 nucleotides) under uncultured bacterium. Its description in RNAcentral is "partial 16S ribosomal RNA". It matches the Rfam family "Bacterial small subunit ribosomal RNA", at positions 524 to 776 of the family's 1533-position model. The record is from RNAcentral.
UACGUAGGGUGCAAGCGUUGUUCGGAAUUAUUGGGCGUAAAGCGCGUGUAGGUGGUUCAAUAAGUCGGAUGUGAAAUCCCCUGGCCUAACCAGGGAAGUGCAUCCGAAACUGUUAAGCUAGAGGACGGUAGAGGAAGGUGGAAUUCCUAGUGUAGAGGUGAAAUUCGUAGAUAUUAGGAGGAAUACCUGUGGCGAAGGCGGCCUUCUGGGCCGUUCCUGACACUGAGACGCGAAAGCGUGGGGAGCAAACAGG